AUUUUGGAAGUGGGGGGGAAAAAAAAAAUAAAAAGUUCAUUCAAAAAAAUUAUUUCAAAAGAGAUUUCAUAUAAAGCCUUUAAAACACGGUCAGAAGUUUCUCCCUCUUCUCCAGAUCCCUGUGGCUGAACACUUACAGAGAGAAAGAGAGAAAAAGUAGAGAGAGUUUAUAACAAUCUCUGUAGAAGAAACAAAACAAUCCAGGAAAGAAAAUAUCCAAGGAUACGGUAAGGGAUAAAAUUACAUUUGUACAAAAAUAGAUUUUUAACUUUAUUGAUGCUUUAGAUAUUUUUUUCCUUAUCUUUUUUUUUUUGUCAUUCUAAAUUUUAAUGUCUUUUUUUUAGUCUAUGUAUCCCAUAGCCAAGGCAUCCAUCGCUAAGUAUUGGGAAUUGCUAAAGCUAUUCUUUACUCCAAACCACCUGCUUAAAAGAAAGGAAAGAAAAAAACAAAAUAAAAGAGGAAAAACAAAAGAAAAGAAGAAAAAGGAAACAAAAAGAAGAAAAACAAAACAAAAAGGCAUCUUAAAAUAGAUGCAGUUCCUUUGUCUCGAGGAAUAAAAAUCCAGAUUUGGCAUCUGCCAAUUCGGAAAGGGAUUCAGAUACAAUGGAAGCAAAACACGGGGGAAAAAAACCAAAAUAAAAAGCCAGGAGAGGAAAAAAAAAAACCAAAACAAAAAUCCAAGAAAAAAAAUUGACUUAAACCACAAAAAGCCAGGAAAAGUCUGUAAUUGCUACAGUUCUCUAAGUGUAUAUGUGAGUGGGGUAUUAUACAGUGUCGAUAUCUACAGUACAUACACGGACACACAGACACCCACCCAGCCCAGCCAGCCAGCCUGCAGUGAUGGGGACAGCACAGCCCCAGCCUGGCUUUGGGGACAGCUCCCCAGCCUGCCUUUGGGGUUGUCAGCUCCCCAGACUGCUUUUGGGAUCAGCAGCUCCCCAGACUGGUUUUAGGAUCAGCAGCCCAGCCUGGUUUUGGGGUCAGCUCCUCAGCCUGCUUUUGGGAUCAGCUCCCCAGCGCGGUUUUGGGAUCAGCAGCCCAGCCCAGGGCUGUCCCCGCUGCCACAGAGGGCUCAGCAGGGCCAGGGCUCAGCGUUUCCCAGCCCCAGGGCCACUCCUGGGCAGCUGCAGUGCCAAGGGAAGCUGGGCAUUGCCAUGGGGGGUUUGGGAUGUGCUGGAUUGGGAUUGGGUAUGGGGUGGGUGCAACAUGCAGCGAGGGGUGCAGCAGCUGGCUGAAAGGCUGAUGUUUGUGCUAUCUUUAGAAAAUUAA
Molecule: long non-coding RNA, 1269 nt
Filed under: Geospiza fortis (medium ground-finch)
Lineage: Eukaryota; Metazoa; Chordata; Aves; Passeriformes; Thraupidae
Description: lncRNA (ENSGFOG00000006476.1)
Source: RNAcentral